RNAcentral lists this ribosomal RNA (762 nucleotides) under uncultured Bacteroidota bacterium. RNAcentral's name for it is "bacterial SSU rRNA". It matches the Rfam family "Bacterial small subunit ribosomal RNA", at positions 728 to 1504 of the family's 1533-position model. The record is from RNAcentral. Lineage: Bacteria; Pseudomonadati; Bacteroidota.
ACUAACCCAAAACUGACGCUCAGGCACGAAAGCGUGGGUAGCGAACAGGAUUAGAUACCCUGGUAGUCCACGCCGUAAACGAUGAUCACUCGUUGUUGGCGAUACACAGUCAGUGACCAAGCGAAAGCGAUAAGUGAUCCACCUGGGGAGUACGUUCGCAAGAAUGAAACUCAAAGUGAUUGACGGGGGCCCGCACAAGCGGUGGAGCAUGUGGUUUAAUUCGAUGAUACGCGAGGAACCUUACCUGGGCUCAAAUGUAAGUUGACGUAUCGGGAAACCGAUAUUUCUUCGGACAAUUUACAAGGUGCUGCAUGGUUGUCGUCAGCUCGUGCCGUGAGGUGUCGGGUUAAGUCCCAUAACGAGCGCAACCCCUAUCAUUAGUUGCCAUCAGGUCAAGCUGGGGACUCUAGUGAAACUGCCUACGCAAGUAGAGAGGAAGGUGGGGAUGACGUCAAAUCAGCACGGCCCUUACGUCCAGGGCUACACACGUGCUACAAUGGCCGGUACAGAGGGCAGCCACCACGCGAGUGGGAGCGAAUCUCGAAAGCCGGUCUCAGUUCGGAUCGAAGUCUGCAACCCGACUUCGUGAAGCUGGAAUCGCUAGUAAUCGCGCAUCAGCCAUGGCGCGGUGAAUACGUUCCCGGGCCUUGUACACACCGCCCGUCAAGCCAUGGAAGCUGGGGGUACCUGAAGUCGGUAACCGUAAGGAGCCGCCUAGGGUAAAACUAGUAACUGGGGCUAAGUCGUAACAAGGUAGCCGUA